RNAcentral lists this ribosomal RNA (497 nucleotides) under uncultured bacterium. RNAcentral describes it as "partial 16S ribosomal RNA". It matches the Rfam family "Bacterial small subunit ribosomal RNA", at positions 28 to 507 of the family's 1533-position model. The record is from RNAcentral.
GAUGAACGCUGGCGGCGUGCCCAAUACACGCAAGUCGAACGAACGGACGAGAAGUUUGUUUCUUUGAUGUUAGCGGAGGACGGGUGAGUAACUCGAGUAUCACCCACCUAUCAUACUGGGAUAACUACGGGAAACCGGCUCUUAUCCCGGAUAAUAUUUUGAACCGACUGGUUCGAACGUGAAAGUCGGUCUUGCUGUCACUAAUAGCUACAUCCGAGCUGCAUUAGCUAGUUGGUAAGGUAACGGGUUAUCAAGGCAACGAUGCAUAGCCGACGGGAGAGGGUGAUCGGCGACACGGGAACUGAGACUCGGUCCUGACUCCUGCGGUAGGCAGCAGUAGCGAAUCGUCCGCAAUGGUCGAGAGCCUGACAGAACAACGCGACGUGAGUGAUGAAGGUCCUCGGAUCGUAAAGCUCUGUUAUGAGGGAAGAACAUAUGUGUAAUUUACUGUGCACAUAUUGACGGUACCUAGUCAAAAAGCCACGGCUAACUACGUG